RNAcentral lists this long non-coding RNA (2036 nucleotides) under Equus caballus (horse). RNAcentral's name for it is "lncRNA (ENSECAG00000055555.1)". The record is from RNAcentral. Lineage: Eukaryota; Metazoa; Chordata; Mammalia; Perissodactyla; Equidae.
CUGGGGCCCACUAGCAUGGCAGGAGCUGGUUUUCAAAAGGUGUAAUUCUCCACUGCGUGUCAUGGCUUUACUCUGGAACCUAGGGAUCUGCGAUGCUACUUACGCAUUAGAGUUGCUAUCACCUCUACGUGGAGUAUUUUCCCAUGAUGGAUACCUCUAAUAACAUAGGACUACCAGGUCAUACGGCCCAAGCAGGAGGGAAGCUCGCACCACUGCCUGAAUCUGCUCCAGAACCCUUUUCUACUCUGGGCCCCAACUCAAAAUUGGCACCUUUCAAGCCAUCAGUAUAUGUUAAGAGCAGAAUUCCCAGGUGUGGAAUAUUCUGCUUCUGAAACCCAAAGACGCCUACCAGGCAUUAUGCUUCCUUCUUCAUCGUGGAAGGUACAAGAUGCAAUAACUUACCAUUUGCAAGAGAUGUGCCAGCAUGCCCCAGACUACUGGACCCUAAAAGUCUUAACUGAUAUGGCGGGCCCCUGAAUCUUUGUAGCGUUUAUCUCCCACCCUCCAGAAUGCAUGUAUCUUGCCGUGACCUUUUGUGUACUAGCCACUUCUUACUUCUCCAGUCUGAUUAGCAUGAUCACAUCAAUAUAGUGGGCCAGUGUAGUUUUGUGAGUGGUCCAGCCAGUCCAAAUCUCUUCAGAGGCUAUGAUGACAGAGCGUGUGAGAAUUAACAUAGCUCUAGGGCCAGACCAAGAUGUAUACUGUUGUCUCUUCCAAGCGAAUAUCAACUAUUUCUGAUCUUCUCUCCUGACUGGGUUAGAAAAGACUGCUUUCAACAAUCAGUGGCCGUGUGUCAUGUGCCUGAGACCAUGUUUAUCUGUUCUAGCAAAGAUGCCACAUCUGAUACACCAUCUGCGAUUGGGGUUCUUACUUGGUUGAGUUUAUAGUAGUACACUCUGAAGAUAAAUCAAGUUACAUCAAAAAUAGUUCAUGUUUGCAGGGGCCAAACUGUCAGAUGAUAUGAAGAGAGAAUGGGGACCACUGCCCCUCAUUCUGUAGGUCUUUAACAGUGUGACUGGUUUCUGCCUUCCCCCUCCCAGAGCUGGAGGGCCAAUCUCCAAAGCUUGUGCUCAGCCUUCCUACUACCAUAGUUCUAACCCUACAGGCCAGGGAGCCAGAGUUCUUCCUCUUGAAGACUCAAGAGUUUCAGUCUGAAAACUGGCCCAGACCCAGACAUUGGACAAGGGAUCAUGGCUGGAUAUUGGAGCGACUGCCCUCAGCCUCCUAAUCACCCAUCCUUGGAUUAUUUUGAUUGUACAGAUUGAGUAGCCCACUUGUUGGCUGCCCAUCUGUUUCACCCCGGGGAUCCCUUGUUCUGUGAACUGUCUCCAAAACUCACCAGGAACAGGCUGACCACAGGCAGGAAACACACCUAUAAGGUAUCCAUCACAGCUGACAGAAGGAGGGAACAAUAAAAGACCCUGGAGUCCAUCAUGCCUUAAGGGAAUCCCCUCCUUACUGUCCAUUUUCCCUAUAAAACUGCCUCAAGAUUCCGUAAUUUUUGAAGAUGGUUUUUUUGAGACAUUAGCCUGCCAUCUUUCCAAUUAUGCGGGCUAAUUGAAUGAAAACUUCCUUCCUCCAUCCCUGACUUGUCAUGAUUAAUUGGCUCAGAUCAUGGUGAGCAGAACGAGCCCACUGCUUGGUAUCAGACGUGGCGCUAGGGGAGGGAGAUGUUUGGCGCUGCCGACCCUCAAGGAAGACCUCGGCACCCCAGAGAGCUGUCCAGCUGGGGUGGCCCUUCCGAGUCGUGGUAAAUGCAGGCAAGGGGGCCUGGCCUUUAUACUCCCAUACUGAUCAGGCUGGAUGUGGGCUUCCAGGAGGGGGCCAUGAUCUUGGGCAAGGCAGUCUUCAGUGGAGGCAGUUCCAAAGAAGGUUGACAGCUGAGGGGGCCGUGGCUGACAGCAUUCCCAGCAGCUGGGGGAAUGUGUCCUUCAGUCCUGCUGAAGGGUCAUCCAGGAGGCACAUCACAGCUCCCGCUACACCACAGUACCAUUAUCUCAUGCAGCAAACUCAAGACUGAUACAAUAAUAUUAUCC